This 330-nucleotide long non-coding RNA is filed under the name Phoenix dactylifera (date palm). RNAcentral's name for it is "long non-coding RNA (PDAC_LNC017778)". The record is from RNAcentral. Lineage: Eukaryota; Viridiplantae; Streptophyta; Magnoliopsida; Arecales; Arecaceae.
UGUUUGUGGGUAUCAUCACUGCAAACCCUCAUGAGACAACACUCGUCCACUAGGGUAACCUAGGGGUUUAACGGCUUGUUGCACAUGCUAAGUGCAAUCGUAAUGCUCUACGAAAGUGAGUAUUUAUUUUAAUUCAUGCAUAUUGAUAUAUAUUAAUAAAAUAAAUAAUACUUUUGCACCCUCAUUUUAUCAUUUUCACACUAAAUUGCUAGAGACUAGCAAUAAGCUAGUUGGGGGGUGUGAUGAGAGUACAAAAGUGAAAUUUUUGUAUUAUCUUAAUUAGUAUUAUAGCUAAUCUUUAUUAAUAAAAUUAAUUAAUUAAUGUUUUAU